CCUACGGGUGGCAGCAGUGGGGAAUCAUUCACAAUGGGGGAAACCCUGAUGGUGCGACGCCGCGUGGGGGAAUGAAGGUCUUCGGAUUGUAAACCCCUGUCAUGUGGGAGCAAAUUAAAAAGAUAGUACCACAAGAGGAAGAGCCGGCUAACUCGGUGCCAGCAGCCGCGGUAAUACAGAGGUCUCAAGCGUUGUUCGGAAUCACUGGGCGUAAAGCGUGCGUAGGCUGUUGCGUAAGUCGUGUGUGAAAGGCGCGGGCUCAACCCGCGGACGGCACAUGAUACUGCGAGACUAGAGUAAGGGAGGGGGAAGCGGAAUUCUCGGUGUAGCAGUGAAAUGCGUAGAUAUCGAGAGGAACACUCGUGGCGAAGGCGGGUUCCUGGACAUUAACUGACGCUGAGGCACGAAGGCCAGGGGAGCGAAAGGGAUUAGAUACCCCUGUAGUC
Molecule: ribosomal RNA, 446 nt
Filed under: uncultured bacterium
Lineage: Bacteria
Description: partial 16S ribosomal RNA
Rfam family: Bacterial small subunit ribosomal RNA
Source: RNAcentral